GUCUUUUUGAUAAAAUAUAAAGUCCAAUCUGCUCACUGAGUGUUUAAAGAGCCGCAGUAUACUGACUGUGCAAAGGUAGCAUAAUCAAUAGUUUUUUAAUUGAGAACUUGUAUGAAAGAUUAGACGAGAAAUUUAUUUUCUUUAUUUUAAUAAAUUAAAUUUUAAUUUUAAGUGAAAAUGCUUAAUUAAAUUUAAAAGACGAGAAGACCCUAUAGAUUUUUAUUAUUUAAAUAAAUUUUAUAUCUUAAUUUAAUAAAAGAAUUUAAUUGGGGCGAUUUUGUAAAAUAAAAAACUUAAUUUAUUUAAACCAUAAAUAAUUGAAUUUUUUGAUCUAAAAAUUUUAAAGAAAAGAUUAAAUUACCUUAGGGAUAACAGCGUAAUUUUAUUUAAGAGUUCAUAUCUAUAAUAAAGUUUGCGACCUCGAUGUUGAAUUAAGAUAAUAUAUUGGAGUAGAAAUUAAUAUAAUUAGUCUGUUCGACUAUUAAAUUCU
RNAcentral lists this ribosomal RNA (490 nucleotides) under Kimunpsocus takumai. Its description in RNAcentral is "partial 16S ribosomal RNA". Lineage: Eukaryota; Metazoa; Arthropoda; Insecta; Psocodea; Psocidae. The record is from RNAcentral.